CCUACGGGGGGCAGCAGUGGGGAAUAUUGCACAAUGGAGGGAACUCUGAUGCAGCGACGCCGCGUGAGUGAAGAAGUAAUUCGUUAUGUAAAGCUCUAUCAGUCGGGGAGCAAGUGACGGUACCUGAAAAAGAAGCUCCGGCGAAAUACGUGCCAGCAGCCGCGGGAAUACGUAUGGAGCCAGCGUUAUCCGGAUUUACUGGGGGUAAAGGGGGUGUAGGUGGGAGAGCAAGUCCGACGUGAAAACCCAAAGCUCAACUAUGGGAAUGCCGUAGAAACUGCUCGGCUAGAGUGCAGGAGAGGCAAGGGGAAUGCGUGGUGUAGCGGUGAAAUGCAUAGAUAUUGCGAGGAACACCGGUUGCGAAGGCGGCUUGCUGGAUUGUAACUGACGCUGAGGCUCGAAAGCGUGGGGAGCAAACAGGAUUAGAUACCCUGGUAGUC
Molecule: ribosomal RNA, 440 nt
Filed under: uncultured bacterium
Lineage: Bacteria
Description: partial 16S ribosomal RNA
Rfam family: Bacterial small subunit ribosomal RNA
Source: RNAcentral